GGAGGUUCCCAGGCUAGAGGUUGAACUGGAGCUACAGCUGCUGGCCUGUACCACAGUCAGAGCAACGCUGGAUCUGAGCCAUGUCUGAGACCUACACCACAGCUCGUGGCAGCCAGAUCCUUAACCCACUGAUUGAGGCCAGGGAUCGAACCUGUGUCCUCAUGGAUACUAGUCAGAUCUGUUUCCACUGAGCUACGACAGGAACUCCUUAACUUUGCCUUUUCAUUGCUUUUACCAACUGUAAGGUCUAUUAUGCGGGUUGCCAGACAGGUUCAAUAUCAGCCCAUUGACUUGAGGCCUUAAAAAAAAGCAAGCAGAAACACAUUUUACAUACAUUUCCUGAGAAAUGCAAUAUCAAUGUGACAAUAAUAAAGUUCCAAUAAUAACAUCCUCUAGGUAUGCAGCCUCUCUUCCACACAUCUCAACUCUGAAUAAUCUCACAAAACAUUCUAUCACAUUUGAAUAAAAUCCCCUGAAAACUAUGAUUUUGCUCUUGAAUGUUGGAUAUUGCCAGCAGCACUCAGGCUGCCCCCAGUCUGCCUUCAGGAGAAGAUACUAAGUCCUGGCUGAUGCCAAGUACUGCAAAGCACAGAUGAGUGUUUCAAGCAGGGGUGGAGAAUUCUUUACAACUCAGGUAAGAAAAUAUUUGUAAAGCAAACAUAAAGCACCGAAGCACAUAAUUUGAAAGUAAAUUGAACUUCCUAAAAUCACAUGAAAAAAUUUUCUCUAAACAUCCUAUUUCCUGCUUUAUGUCACUGUAAUAAAGCUCAAUGGGAAUGUUUUUGCUAUUUUUGCCUUCUAGAUUUCAAAGAGAAUAUCUCUUUUGGGGAGAGAAUUGCUUUCCUGUUUUGACUAUGCAAGCCCUGGUGAGGGUCACCUUUUUUUCUUUGGGACACGCUGGGUUGUCAGUGAUUUAGUGUGCAUGUGCAACACUGGAGCUGUUAAACGUUUACAACUAAGGGAAAAAGAAAACUUUGCUAGGCGCAGCUUUCUAUAGCUGAGUUUGUCUCACAUUAUUCAUACAAAUGCAUACUGUGGCCUAUAACAAACAUAACAAUAAAAGUUUGGAUAUAUUUUCAAUCAAGAAAGUAAAAUAAAGGAAAUAACCCUAGUCAAAUUAUUUCAGCUUGCCCCACAAAAUCAGGAAAAGGAGGCUUGAUGAAUAAAAGCAGCAGCACUUGUCUCUUCACAACUUGAAGCUUACUCAUCGAGGGAAGAAUUAAAGAGAAACUUAUAAAAUCAAUACUGCAUUUAUUCUCAUAUUCUCCAAUUUUCUUAAUUUGAAAUUAGAAUGAAUACAAAAGAUGUUCACAUUUGUUUUCAUAUUCAUGACACUCCCUUUCUUGCCCUAUGGACGCAGAAAGCUGCUGAAACCCUCUAUGGCCUUAGUAUAUCCAAACAACAUUUGGUAGCAGCUUA
This 1419-nucleotide long non-coding RNA is filed under the name Sus scrofa (pig). RNAcentral's name for it is "lncRNA (ENSSSCG00015043657.1)". Lineage: Eukaryota; Metazoa; Chordata; Mammalia; Artiodactyla; Suidae. The record is from RNAcentral.